This 90-nucleotide transfer RNA is filed under the name Thermocrinis minervae. Its description in RNAcentral is "Aquificaceae bacterium CR11 tRNA". It matches the Rfam family "tRNA". Rfam says of the family: Transfer RNA (tRNA) molecules are approximately 80 nucleotides in length. The record is from Rfam by way of RNAcentral. Lineage: Bacteria; Pseudomonadati; Aquificota; Aquificia; Aquificales; Aquificaceae.
GGAGAGGUGGCCGAGUGGUCGAAGGCGCAGCACUGGAAAUGCUGUGUAGGGUUAACAGCCCUACCGCGGGUUCGAAUCCCGCCCUCUCCG